RNAcentral lists this ribosomal RNA (492 nucleotides) under uncultured bacterium. Its description in RNAcentral is "partial 16S ribosomal RNA". It matches the Rfam family "Bacterial small subunit ribosomal RNA", at positions 29 to 507 of the family's 1533-position model. The record is from RNAcentral.
AGUGAACGCUGGCGGUAGGCCUAACACAUGCAAGUCGAACGGCAGCACAGUAAGAGCUUGCUCUUACGGGUGGCGAGUGGCGGACGGGUGAGGAAUACAUCGGAAUCUACUUUUUCGUGGGGGAUAACGUAGGGAAACUUACGCUAAUACCGCAUACGACCUACGGGUGAAAGCAGGGGAUCUUCGGACCUUGCGCGAUUGAAUGAGCCGAUGUCGGAUUAGCUAGUUGGCGGGGUAAAGGCCCACCAAGGCGACGAUCCGUAGCUGGUCUGAGAGGAUGAUCAGCCACCCUGGAAGUGAGACACGGUCCAGACUCCUACGGGAGGCAGCAGUGGGGAAUAUUGGACAAUGGGCGCAAGCCUGAUCCAGCCAUACCGCGUGGGUGAAGAAGGCGUUCGGGUUGUAAAGCCCUUUUGUUGGGAAAGAAAAGCAGCAGGUUAAUACCCCGCUGUUCUGACGGUACCCAAAGAAUAAGCACCGGCUAACUUCGUG